This 627-nucleotide ribosomal RNA is filed under the name Proteus mirabilis. RNAcentral's name for it is "partial 23S ribosomal RNA". It matches the Rfam family "Bacterial large subunit ribosomal RNA", at positions 588 to 1215 of the family's 2925-position model. Lineage: Bacteria; Pseudomonadati; Pseudomonadota; Gammaproteobacteria; Enterobacterales; Morganellaceae. The record is from RNAcentral.
AUGGGGUGACUGCGUACCUUUUGUAUAAUGGGUCAGCGACUUAUAUUCUGUAGCAAGGUUAACCGUAUAGGGGAGCCGUAGGGAAACCGAGUCUUAACUGGGCGAAUGAGUUGCAGGGUAUAGACCCGAAACCCGGUGAUCUAUCCAUGGGCAGGUUGAAGGUUGGGUAACACUAACUGGAGGACCGAACCGACUAAUGUUGAAAAAUUAGCGGAUGACUUGUGGAUGGGGGUGAAAGGCCAAUCAAACCGGGAGAUAGCUGGUUCUCCCCGAAAGCUAUUUAGGUAGCGCCUCGUGAACUCAUCUUCGGGGGUAGAGCACUGUUUCGACUAGGGGGUCAUCCCGACUUACCAACUCGAUGCAAACUGCGAAUACCGAAGAAUGUUAUCACGGGAGACACACGGCGGGUGCUAACGUCCGUCGUGAAGAGGGAAACAACCCAGACCGCCAGCUAAGGUCCCAAAGUCAUGGUUAAGUGGGAAACGAAGUGGGAAGGCUCAGACAGCCAGGAUGUUGGCUUAGAAGCAGCCAUCAUUUAAAGAAAGCGUAAUAGCUCACUGGUCGAGUCGGCCCGCGCGGAAGAUGUAACGGGGCUAAACCAUGCACCGAAGCUGCGGCAGCGACACA